CGCUUUUUGAGUUUUAUAAAAAGUAAAACCUGCCCACUGAUAAAUUGAAUGGCCGCGGUAAUUUGACCGUGCGAAGGUAGCAUAAUCAUUAGUCUAUUAAUUGUAGACUGGUAUGAAUGGUUUAAAUGGUUAAUAGCUGUUUCUUAAAUAAAUAUGAAUUUUAAGAUUUUGUGAAGAUGCAAAGAUGAUACUAAAAGACGAGAAGACCCUAUUAAGCUUUAUAUUAUUUAUGUUUUAAAGAUUAUAGGAUAAAUAGUAUUUUAUUGGGGCGAUAGUAAAGAUUAAGUAACCUUUAUUUAAAAUAAUAAAUUUAAUAUAAUGAUGAUCCAUAAAUAUGAUUAUAAGAACAAGUUACUAUAGGGAUAACAGCGUAAUUUUANCGGAGAGUUCAAAUUGAUGAUAAAGAUUGCGACCUCGAUGUUGAAUUAGGAUACCUUUUGGGUGUAGCCGUUUUUAAAGGUAGACUGUUCGUCUAUU
RNAcentral lists this ribosomal RNA (477 nucleotides) under Anopsobius neozelandicus. RNAcentral describes it as "partial 16S ribosomal RNA". It matches the Rfam family "Bacterial large subunit ribosomal RNA", at positions 1831 to 2589 of the family's 2925-position model. Lineage: Eukaryota; Metazoa; Arthropoda; Chilopoda; Lithobiomorpha; Henicopidae. The record is from RNAcentral.